Molecule: long non-coding RNA, 996 nt
Organism: Cucumis melo (muskmelon)
Lineage: Eukaryota; Viridiplantae; Streptophyta; Magnoliopsida; Cucurbitales; Cucurbitaceae
Exons: 2
Source: RefSeq, a predicted model, not a curated record
UUCAUUAAAACAUCCCACAAGAUUACUGAACGAUGCAGCAUGUACAGGAAAUGUUGAGUUCUUAAUUGUCCUCAUUCGCAAGUAUCCAGAUAUAAUAUGGGAAGUGAUGAUGAUGGUAAACGCAUUUUUCACGUCGAAAUCGACUUGAGAAUGUGUUCAAUCUAAUAAAUGAGAUUGGUAGGGUCAAUGAGUUUACUGCAAAAUAUCGAACGUUCAAAGGACGAAAUUAUAACAUACUCCAUUUGGCUAGCUGCUCCAAACCAUCUCAAUAGAGUCUCUAAAGCUGCACUUCAAAUGCAACGUGAAUUGCUAUAGUUCAAGAUUUUGAAUUUAGGAAGUACAAAAGAUAGUUUUGCCUUUCCAACUUGAAGCCAAAAUCGAAUGUUAUGUCUUCCCAACGACUCGAGGCGAAAUUCAAUUAUCCAGAUGCUCCAAAGUUGACACCACGCCAAGUAUUCACCCAAGAGCAUAAAGAUCUUCGCAAAGAUGGGUUGAGGAGCGGAUGAAAAACACAGCAAACUCAAGCAUGCUCGUCGGAACUUUGAUCUCCACAGUAGUUUUCGCAGCGGCUUUUUCACAGUUCCAGGUGGGAGUAAUAACAAUGAGGGCACUCCUGUUUUUCAGCAGAAGUUUUGGUUCACCGUGUUUGCAAUGUCGGAUGCAGUUGCUUUUGUUUUCAUCCUCAACAUCUAUCCUAAUGUUCGUGUCGAUCCUUACUUCACGUUACGCGGAAGAUGAUUUUCUGCAUUCAUUGCCGUCAAGAUUUCUCUUUGGACUGGCGACGUUAUUCAUAUCCAUCGUGUGGCCUUUAGUGCUACCUUUUAUAUUCUCUACCAUAAGGCUAACAUAUGUAUUCCCACCGUAGUGUCUGCCAUGGCGAUUCUUCCAGUUAUUUGUUUUUGUGGCCUUCAGUUUAAACUGUGGGCUGAUAUUUUUCACGACACUUAUUCGUCUACAUGUCUUUUCAAAUCUCGACCACGUAAAUUGUUUUGACCA